GGGAGGUAGUGACAAUAAAUAACAAUACGGGGUUCUUCGAAUCUCGUAAUUGGGAUGAGUACAAUUUAAAUCUCUUAACGAGGAACAAUUGGAGGGCAAGUCUGGUGCCAGCAGCCGCGGUAAUUCCAGCUCCAAUAGCGUAUAUUAAAGUUGUUGCAGUUAAAAAGCUCGUAGUUGAAUUUCGGGAUUAGUAGGUUGGUCGUGCCUCUGGUAUGCACUGGCUUUACUGGUUCCUCCUUCUUGAAGAACUGUAAUGUCAUUAAUUUGGUGUUGCAGGGAAACAGGACUGUUACUUUGAAAAAUUAGAGUGUUUAAAGCAGGCCAACGCCUGAAUACAUUAGCAUGGAAUAAUAAAAUAGGACGUUCGAACCUAUUUUGUUGGUUUCUAGGAUUGACGUAAUGAUUAAUAGGGAUAGUUGGG
RNAcentral lists this ribosomal RNA (421 nucleotides) under uncultured Glomeraceae. Its description in RNAcentral is "SSU rRNA". It matches the Rfam family "Eukaryotic small subunit ribosomal RNA", at positions 459 to 886 of the family's 1831-position model. The record is from RNAcentral. Lineage: Eukaryota; Fungi; Glomeromycota; Glomeromycetes; Glomerales; Glomeraceae.